RNAcentral lists this ribosomal RNA (253 nucleotides) under uncultured bacterium. RNAcentral's name for it is "partial 16S ribosomal RNA". It matches the Rfam family "Bacterial small subunit ribosomal RNA", at positions 524 to 776 of the family's 1533-position model. The record is from RNAcentral.
UACGAAGGGGGCUAGCGCUGCUCGGAAUCACUGGGCGUAAAGGGUGCGUAGGCGGGCCUUUAAGUCAGGGGUGAAAUCCUGGAGCUCAACUCCAGAACUGCCUUUGAUACUGAAGAUCUUGAGUUCGGGAGAGGUGAGUGGAACUGCGAGUGUAGAGGUGAAAUUCGUAGAUAUUCGCAAGAACACCAGUGGCGAAGGCGGCUCACUGGCCCGAUACUGACGCUGAGGCACGAAAGCGUGGGGAGCAAACAGG